CUCCGGUGACCCCACCGGCGAGCAAUCACGGCGAGAACAAGAUGAGUGUCCGCGGCUCCAAUCGAAAAAAACAGGGAGAAAGAGAGGGGUAGAGGGCCGAUGUUCGGUUUCUAAGGAAAGGGGAGGUCUUUUUAUAGAGGGCCCUAGGACUUCGAGAGGUCCUAGGACUCCCGAUUCACCCAGGUCUCGCCGGAGAAGAAGACUCCUAUCGGGAGUCUUCUUCCCGAUUUUAUUUUUCCUGUUUUUUUUUGGGCUUGGGUCUUGCUAGAUG
Molecule: long non-coding RNA, 271 nt
Filed under: Elaeis guineensis (African oil palm)
Lineage: Eukaryota; Viridiplantae; Streptophyta; Magnoliopsida; Arecales; Arecaceae
Description: long non-coding RNA (EGUI_LNC022808)
Source: RNAcentral